Long non-coding RNA from Oncorhynchus kisutch (coho salmon), 1994 nucleotides. Lineage: Eukaryota; Metazoa; Chordata; Actinopteri; Salmoniformes; Salmonidae. The record is from Ensembl.
GGGGAUAAAGACAGUAUGGUGCCUGUAUGGGGAUAAAGACAGUAUGGUGCCUGUAUGGGGAUAAAGACAGUAUGGUGUCUGUAUGGGGAUAAAGACAGUAUGGUGUCUGUAUGGGGAUAAAGACAGUAUGGUGCCUGUAUGGGGAUAAAGACAGUAUGGUGUCUGUAUGGGGAUAAAGACAGUAUGGUGUCUGUAUGGGGAUAAAGACAGUAUGGUGUCUGUAUGGGGAUAAAGACAGUAUGGUGUCUGUAUGGGGAUAAAGACAGUAUGGUGUCUGUAUGGGGAUAAAGACAGUAUGGUGUCUGUAUGGGGAUAAAGACAGUAUGGUGUCUGUAUGGGGAUAAAGACAGUAUGGUUGCCUGUAUGGGGAUAAAGACAGUAUGGUGUCUGUAUGGGGACACAGAGAUACAGGAUAAAGACAGUAUGGUGUCUGUAUGGGGACACAGAGAUACAGGAUGAAGACAGUAUGGUGUCUGUAUGGGGAUAAAGACAGUAUGGUGCCUGUAUGGGGAUAAAGACAGUAUGGUGCCUGUAUGGGGAUAAAGACAGUAUGGUGCCUGUAUGGGGAUAAAGACAGUAUGGUGCCUGUAUGGGGAUAAAGACAGUAUGGUGCCUGUAUGGGGAUAAAGACAGUAUGGUGCCUGUAUGGGGAUAAAGACAGUAUGGUGUCUGUAUGGGGAUAAAGACAGUAUGGUGUCUGUAUGGGGAUAAAGACAGUAUGGUGCCUGUAUGGGGAUAAAGACAGUAUGGUGCCUGUAUGGGGAUAAAGACAGUAUGGUGUCUGUAUGGGGAUAAAGACAGUAUGGUGUCUGUAUGGGGAUAAAGACAGUAUGGUGUCUGUAUGGGGAUAAAGACAGUAUGGUGUCUGUAUGGGGAUAAAGACAGUAUGGUGUCUGUAUGGGGAUAAAGACAGUAUGGUGUCUGUAUGGGGAUAAAGACAGUAUGGUGUCUGUAUGGGGAUAAAGACAGUAUGGUGCCUGUAUGGGGAUAAAGACAGUAUGGUGCCUGUAUGGGGAUAAAGACAGUAUGGUGCCUGUAUGGGGAUAAAGACAGUAUGGUGCCUGUAUGGGGAUAAAGACAGUAUGGUGCCUGUAUGGGGAUAAAGACAGUAUGGUGCCUGUAUGGGGAUAAAGACAGUAUGGUGCCUGUAUGGGGAUAAAGACAGUAUGGUGCCUGUAUGGGGAUAAAGACAGUAUGGUGCCUGUAUGGGGAUAAAGACAGUAUGGUGUCUGUAUGGGGAUAAAGACAGUAUGGUGUCUGUAUGGGGAUAAAGACAGUAUGGUGUCUGUAUGGGGAUAAAGACAGUAUGGUGUCCUGUAGGGGAUAAAGACAGUAUGGUGCCUGUAUGGGGAUAAAGACAGUAUGGUGCCUGUAUGGGAUAAAGACAGUAUGGUGCCUGUAUGGGGAUAAAGACAGUAUGGUGCCUGUAUGGGGAUAAAGACAGUAUGGUGCUGUAUGGGGAAACAGUAUGGUGCCUGUAUGGGGAUAAAGACAGUAUGGUGCCUGUAUGGGGAUAAAGACAGUAUGGUGUCUGUAUGGGGAUAAAGACAGUAUGGUGCCUGUAUGGGGAUAAGACAGUAUGGUGCCUGUAUGGGAUAAAGACAGUAUGGUGCCUGUAUGGGGAUAAAGACAGUAUGGUGCCUGUAUGGGGAUAAAGACAGUAUGGUGCCUGUAUGGGGAUAAAGACCAGUAUGGUGCCUGUAUGGGGAUAAGACAGUAUGGUGGCCUGUAAUGGGGAUAAAGACAGUAUGGUGCCUGUAUGGGGAUAAAGACAGUAUGGUGCCUGUAUGGGGAUAAAGACAGUAUGGUGCCUGUAUGGGGAUAAAGACAGUAUGGGUGCCUGUAUGGGGAUAAAGACAGUAUGGUGGUCUGUAUGGGGAUAAAGACAGUAUGGUGUCUGUAUGGGAUAAAGACCAGUAUGGUGCCUGUAUGGGGAUAAGACAGUAUGGUGCCUGUAUGGGGAUAAAGACAGUAUGGUGCCUGUUAUGGGGAUA